UACAGAGUAAAAAAGCCCAAGCUCAGGAC
RNAcentral lists this non-coding RNA (29 nucleotides) under Mus musculus (house mouse). The record is from RNAcentral. Lineage: Eukaryota; Metazoa; Chordata; Mammalia; Rodentia; Muridae.